GUUAACAUAUUAAUUAUUUUUAGUGGAAGCUGUCAUGCUUCCUCUUGGGAAAGAACAGCUUUUAAAAUGUUUGAUAAUUAAUAAAAAGUAAGCAUAUCCUCAAAAAUCACUGAAUUACUCAAUUUAAUCUAAGAGCUCUCUUACACUUGUAUAAAGGACUGGAUUGUGGCAUUCACUCUGCCUAUAGAUUAAAGUUGCUCUGAAGGUGUGUCGAUGAGGAUAAAAAUUCUCCUAGAUGAAAAAAUCCACCUGCUUGCUUUCUACCCAAUGUGCUAUGAUUAACGGAAUUUAGGCUUAGUCUUUACAAACCGAUUGGUUUUAAAAACUGAAAAAUUGAAUUCUGUCUUGUGACUUUUCAUUCAUUUUUUCCUAAUAAAACAAAACAAAAUAACUUGUUAUACAUACUUUAAGAGUGGUUUCAAAUAAAAGGGAAGGGCUAAUUUGACUGUCUCGAUUACAUCUCUCUCACAUGUUUAAGGUGUGAAUAUUACCUGGUCUUUUAAAUAAAUGAAGUAGAGUUUAGAUCGGAAAGAGCAC
Molecule: non-coding RNA, 537 nt
Organism: Vicugna pacos (alpaca)
Lineage: Eukaryota; Metazoa; Chordata; Mammalia; Artiodactyla; Camelidae
Source: RefSeq, a predicted model, not a curated record